Long non-coding RNA from Oncorhynchus gorbuscha (pink salmon), 4994 nucleotides. RefSeq lists it as uncharacterized. Lineage: Eukaryota; Metazoa; Chordata; Actinopteri; Salmoniformes; Salmonidae. The transcript has 2 exons. The record is from RefSeq and is a predicted model, not a curated record.
AUAGAUGGUGAUAGUAUCUAUAGUAGUAUAGAUAGUGAUAGUAUCUAUAGUAGUAUAGAUAGUGAUAGUAUCUAUAGUAGUAUAGAUAGUGAUAGUAUCUAUGUAAUGACAUGGGAUAUGUUUGGUAUUUUACAACUUCAUGUCAGAUGGUUCCUUGUCCUGAAUAUAUCUAUAUGAGCCUGGAGAAACUGUAUUCCAUGGUUCUAAUUUCUUUAAACAGCCAAUAUAAACUUCAUCUAACUUUAUCCUCUGCCAGCUAAAAAUCAAUGGAAGUGAUGGGGGGGAAAUGUUCAAAAAGUGUUGCCAGAACACCUUUAAGUAAUGUAAAAACCAAUCAUCACAGUUUCUCCUGGCUCAUAGACUUGUAUCAGGGUAAGGAUGCCACGAGCAUUACGUUGUGAAUUACUGAACGUAACCUUUUAAAACAGAGCAGCUGAGAGGAAAAGGUUAGGAAGCAGAGAUCUGAAUAUGUCCAAAUCAUCCAGGACCCAGACUGUUAGCCUAUAGCUAGAAUAGUCCAGGAAGGCAGGAGGAACCCACAGCACUUGAAGUUGUAUGGUAGGUAGACGUGAACAGGAGGAACCCACAGCACUUGAAGUUGUAUAGUAGGUAGACCUGAACAGGAGGAACCCACAGCACUUGAAGUUGUAUGGUAGGUGGACCUGAACAGGAGGAACCCACAGCACUUGAAGUUGUAUGGUAGGUGGACCUGAACAGGAGGAACCCACAGCACUUGAAGUUGUAUGGUAGGUGGACCUGAACAGGAGGAACCCACAGCACUUGAAGUUGUAUGGUAGGUAGACGUGAACAGGAGGAACCCACAGCACUUGAAGUUGUAUGGUAGGUGGACCUGAACAGGAGGAACCCACAGCACUUGAAGUUGUAUGGUAGGUAGACGUGAACAGGAGGAACCCACAGCACUUGAAGUUGUAUGGUAGGUGGACCUGAACAGGAGGAACCCACAGCACUUGAAGUUGUAUGGUAGGUAGACCUGAACAGGAGGAACCCACAGCACUUGAAGUUGUAUGGUAGGUAGACGUGAACAGGAGAGAAUAGGUCUACACUCCAGUGUCUAAUAUGCUAUUCCCCACACCUCUGAGCUCACAUCAGACCAGGGGGCAUCUGAAAUGGACACUUCUCUGCAUUACCAAAAGCAGUGCAUUAUAUAUGGAAUAGGGUGCCAUCAGACACAGCCCUAGUAUAUAGUGUAUCUACGCUAAAACAUCCUCACUAUGUCUUCUGAACACACUUAGAUAUUUCCAUUGACUAGAAGAUAAUCCAUGGGUAUAUAUGACUCUUGACAUUCCCCAGUUUGGGUGUUGUCGUUCUUGUUGCUGUGGCAGUCUUGUGGAGUGAACCUUAAUGUGUCUUCACAAUGUUAAAAAGGCAUCCUGAACUAUGACCUUUCUCGCAUGAGCACCAUAAUUCAUUGGACAGUGACAUUUUUGUUUGUUUGUUAUUUUGGUUCUGUACUCCAGCACUUUGAUUUUGAAAGGAUACGAUGACAAUGAGGGUGACGUGCAGACUGUCGGCUUUAAUUUGUGGGUAUUUUCAUACAUAUCGGAUGAACCGUUUAGAAAUUAUAGAAGCUUUUGUACAUAGUCCCCCCCCAUUUUCAGGCAUCAAAAAACAUUGGACAGUUUAACAUGAUUUAGAAUAAAGUAAUCAUUGUUAAUAUUUGGUUGCAUAUCCUUUGCAUGCAAUGACUGCUUGAAGUCUGCGAUGCAUCGACAUCCCCAGACGCUGGGUAUCUUCCCUGGUGAUGCUCUGCCAGGCCUGUAACAUCACCAGACGCUGGGUAUCUUCCCUGGUGAUGCUCUGCCAGGCCUGUAACAUCACCAGACGCUGGGUAUCUUCCCUGGUGAUGCUCUGCCAGGCCUGUAACAUCACCAGACGCUGAGUAUCUUCCCUGGUGAUGCUCUGCCAGGCCUGUACUGCAGCCAUCUUCAGUUCCUGCUUGUUUUGGGGACUUAUUGCCUUCAGUCUCCUCUUCUGCAUGUUCAAUGUGAUUCAGAUCCGGUGAUUGACUCGGCCAGUCAAGGAUUUGACACUUUUUGGCCAUAAAAACCCCUUCUUUGCUCUAGCAAUAUGUUUAGGGUCUUUGUCUUGUUGCAUGAUGAAGUGCCUUCCAAUGAGUUUGGAGGCAUUUGGUUUUAUCUGAGGAGAUAAAAUAUUUCUGUAGACUUCAGAAUUCAUUGUUCUAAUUCUGUCUGCAGUCACAUUGUCGAUGAAGACAAGUGAGCCUGUUCCACUGGCAGCCAUACAGGCCCAAGCCAUAACACCCACCAUGUUUCACGGAUGAGGUGGUAUGCUUUGGAUCAUGGGCCUGUCUUUUUUCUUCCCUUUCCUCUUUCCAUCACUCUGGUACAUGUUCAUCUUUGUCUCAUCUGUCCACAAUACUUUUUUUCCAGAACUCUUGGGGCUCUUUUAGGUGCUUUUUAGCAAACUGUAAUCUGUCCUUUGUGUUUUUCAGGCUUGUCAGUGGUUUGCAUCUUGUAGUGUAUCCUCUGUAGUCCUGCUGGUGUAGUCUUCUACGUAUGGUAGACUUUGACUCAUCUACACCUGCAUCCAGGAGAAUGUUUUUGAUCUGUUGGGCUGUUGUCUGGGGGUGUUCUUCACCAUAGAGAAUAUUCUCCGGUCAUCCGCUACAGUGGUCUUCCUCAGACAACCGGGUCUUUUGACAUAAUUGAGUUCACCGGUUUAUUUUUUCUUGUUAAUGAUGAACCAAACUGCAAUGUUCCUGAUUGAUUGGUUUUCAUUUCUGAGCCUUAUGACGGCCAGCUUCAUUUUGAUUGAUUUUCAUUUCUGAGCCUUAUGACGGCCAGCUUCAUUUUGAUUGGUUUUAAUUUCUGAGCCUUAUGACGGCCAGCUUCAUUUUGAUUGGUUUUAAUUUCUGAGCCUUAUGACGGCCAGCUUCAUUUGCAUGGACACUGCCGUCUUCCUCCUGUUGUCACACCCCAACAACAACCUCCAAAGGCAAUAGCAAAGUCUAGAAUCAAUACAUUCAUCAACAGCUCUCCUGCAUUCACUAACGACACAAAUGAAUACACCUGCCUAACGACACAUCUGUGAAGCCAAUUCAACAAACACUUGUACUACCUUGAAAUGGGGGGACCAUGUACAAAAGGUGCUGUCAUUUCUAAAUGGUUCAUCCGAUAUGUAUGAAAAUACCCUCAAAUUAAAGCCGACAGUCUGCACUUCACCCUCAUUGUCAUUGUAUCCUUUCAAACUCAAAGUGCUGGAGUACAGAACCAAAAUAACAUAAAAAAUGGUCACUGUCCAAUUUGGUGCUCACUGUACAUGUAUCUCUUCUGGUGUGGGAGUAACACACACACACACACACACACACACACACACACACACACACACACACACACACACACACACACACACACACACACACACACACACACACACACACACACACACACACACACACACACACACACACACACACACACACACACACACAUACACACACACACACACACACACACACACACACACACACACACACAGGUGUAUAGUAGGUAGCUACUGUAGGUAGUGUUGACCGUCGUGAAAAAGUGACCCUUAUACAUAUGCAAACUCAGUGGACAGGCGUGAGAGUAAAGCUAGAAGAGUAGUCUAUAUUGUUGUAAUAGUGACUGUGGUCUAAUGAUUUUUAUACCUACAGCUCCUGUGUUUUGGAUUGGAAUUCUUGUGGCGUUGUUCUUUUACCCCACACACACACCAAACUGCAGUUGGCCCUUAGUUUAUGUUGGUUAAGGAGAAUGAAAACCAUGGGAACUGCUAGAGGGUACAACUGUUCAGAUAUAAAUACAUUAUGUAGAACAGAUAUGAUUACCUGUCAUGAUAGAAUUGGGAAUUGUGUCAGAUCCAUUUGCUUAUAUUUUUAUCUGCAACGUUGUUGAGCACCCUCACUGGACACGCCCCAGAUGUUCACUCACUGUGAUGCCCGUCUAAAGGGAUUCUAGUCUAGGGGAAGUAGCCCAAUGCCUGACUAACCCUUCUCUAACAGUAGACUUCCCCUGACAGAAACCCCUAAACCCAAAGACUAUGGAGUGAUAUUAGAACCAGCAGAAACUGAAUAUGUAUUCACAAAUUGAAUUUCUGUUGUCAUAUAUAUCACUCCCUAGAUUAGAAGACUGGUAUUACCUGUUCUAAAGACUAAACCUACAGAUAUUAUACACUCUAUAGAUGUGUGAUUAUACAAUCUGUAAAACAGGGCUGAAGUUAUGUCCUGAAGUAGAAGAAGUGACCAGGAACACAAUCCUGAGUAACAUAAGGGCCACUUGCAAUUUCUGUUGUCAUUUGUGGUUUGAUUAGUUUGGUUCCUACCAUGAUGCUAAUUCAAUCAUUACUGCUCAUUGUCUCCUGAAACUCUAUUUGUUUGUCUUUGUUCGUUGAAUGUGUAUCUGAUAUUGAUCUUAAAAACACUGGAAUUAAUUUGUUCUGCAGCGGAUCUCAUUUUUACUUAGUUAUGGCUUUUUGUUUAAAAGCGAGUUGUAUUGGAGAGGAUGAAUAACUUAUCAGCACUUGUGUGAUGAUUUGCUAGCUGUAGUAGAGAUAUGUAGGCUUUUUUAAAUCAAAUUAUGCUUGGUGAACAUUUGACUGUGCAGGUAUUUCUCACUCGAGUAUAGGUCUAUGUUUCAAAGGUAUUAAGUCUGAAAAUCAAGCUGUUGGAAGUGUCUGAAUGGUAUAUCAAGUUAUUAUUAAACUGUUUUUGGUAUUUUUCUGUCUGGGUUGUAAUAAGAUAUUGCAGUACUUUGUAUGGAAAACAGAGAAUAGUUCAUUGUAACUAUUUGUAAAUUAUUGUACUUUUUUGCAAUCUGUAGAUAAGUAAUAUGAUGUAUUCAUAUAUAAUGACUGUGGUUUUAACCGUGGUUCUCUGAAAUGUCUAAGUUAUUGAUGUGUGUGUGUAUAUAUAGUAUGUUUGUUGAUACAGCUUACUUUAUUUUCUAUAUGACCAAUAAAAAGGUUUUGAAAAGGAC